AGAAGGGAGGCUGAGCGGCCGGUCAAAGCUGUAAAAACACUGCAGCUGGGGUCUGGGGGCUUUGCGGGGAGGAGCUGGCAGGAAGCGGGAGAGAGGAGGGGCGCUGGCAUCUCUGCUGGGGCGAGGGAGACGCUGCGGAACCGGGCGGGGGCGCUGCGGCGGGUACUGACCUGGACGGAUCCCCGCCCAGUC
RNAcentral lists this microRNA precursor (192 nucleotides) under Pteropus vampyrus (large flying fox). RNAcentral's name for it is "miRNA (ENSPVAG00000027488.1)". The record is from RNAcentral. Lineage: Eukaryota; Metazoa; Chordata; Mammalia; Chiroptera; Pteropodidae.